AACGAACGCUGGCGGCAGGCUUAACACAUGCAAGUCGAGGGGCAGCACAAGGAGCAAUCUGAGGUGGCGACCGGUGCACGGGUGAGUAACACGUAUGCAACCUGCCUGUAAGCGGGGGAUAACCCGUUGAAAGACGGACUAAUACCGCAUAAUACUGGAGAUCUGCAUGGAUAUUCAGUUAAACAUUUAUGGCUUACAGAUGGGCAUGCGCAUGAUUAGAUAGUUGGAGAGGUAACGGCUCCCCAAGUCAACGAUCAUUAGGGGUUCUGAGAGGAAGGUCCCCCACACUGGUACUGAGACACGGACCAGACUCCUACGGGAGGCAGCAGUGGGGAAUAUUGCACAAUGGGCGAAAGCCUGAUGCAGCAACGCCGCGUGAGCGAUG
This 385-nucleotide ribosomal RNA is filed under the name uncultured bacterium. Its description in RNAcentral is "bacterial SSU rRNA". It matches the Rfam family "Bacterial small subunit ribosomal RNA", at positions 29 to 410 of the family's 1533-position model. The record is from RNAcentral.